AGCUCCAAUAGCGUAUAUUAAAGUUGUUGCAGUUAAAAAGCUCGUAGUUGGAUUUCUUGCGGGGCAGGGCGGUCCCGGGCGCAAGCCCGGCGUACUGGCCCUCGCCCGGCAACUCUUGCGGCGAACGUCUCUGGCAUUAAGUUGUCGGGUUCGGGAGCCGCAUCGUUUACUGUGAAAAAUUAGAGUGUUUAAAGCAGGCAAUCGCUGUGAAUACAUUAGCAUGGAAUAAUAAGAUAGGACCCUGGUGCUAUUUUGUUGGUUUGCACACCAAGGUAAUGAUUAACAGGGACAGUUGGGGGUAUUCGUAUUUAGAUGUCAGAGGUGAAAUUCUUGGAUUUUCGAAAGACGAACUUCUGCGAAAGC
This 363-nucleotide ribosomal RNA is filed under the name uncultured eukaryote. RNAcentral describes it as "SSU rRNA". It matches the Rfam family "Eukaryotic small subunit ribosomal RNA", at positions 587 to 952 of the family's 1831-position model. The record is from RNAcentral.